UACGUAGGGGGCUAGCGUUGUCCGGAUUUAUUGGGCGUAAAGAGCGUGUAGGCGGCCAGGUAGGUCUGCUGUGAAAACUCGAGGCUCAACCUGGAGACGCCAUCUGAUACUGCCGUGGCUUGAGUCCGGUAGAGGAGCAGGGAAUUCCUGGUGUAGCGGUGAAAUGCGCAGAUAUCAGGAGGAACACCAGCGGCGAAGGCGCUGCUCUGGGCCGGUACUGACGCUGAGGAGCGAAAGCGUGGGGAGCGAACAGG
RNAcentral lists this ribosomal RNA (254 nucleotides) under uncultured bacterium. RNAcentral describes it as "partial 16S ribosomal RNA". It matches the Rfam family "Bacterial small subunit ribosomal RNA", at positions 524 to 776 of the family's 1533-position model. The record is from RNAcentral.